GUCGGCCAGUACGGUGGUUGGGGCAUCGGUUCACACUGCGGUGGUGGUGCCGGAUGGUACUGUGGUGGAGCAGGCUCGUGCCAGAAUGGCUCGGGAUCUACUUGCUGUAACGGUGGCUCAACCUGUGGUAGUGGAAGAGGUUCGGGUAACUCCCUUCUCUCCUUUCGACCUUGCUGGGUGGCCAUGAUCCUUUCCAGAAUCUCAAAUAUUCUGUCCACAUCUUCCCGAAGCGAAU
RNAcentral lists this long non-coding RNA (235 nucleotides) under Carica papaya (papaya). RNAcentral describes it as "long non-coding RNA (CPAP_LNC007949)". Lineage: Eukaryota; Viridiplantae; Streptophyta; Magnoliopsida; Brassicales; Caricaceae. The record is from RNAcentral.